UGGGGAAUUUUGGACAAUGGGCGAAAGCCUGAUCCAGCAAUGCCGCGUGUGUGAAGAAGGCCUUCGGGUUGUAAAGCACUUUUGUCCGGAAAGAAAUGGCUCUGGUUAAUACCUGGGGUCGAUGACGGUACCGGAAGAAUAAGGACCGGCUAACUACGUGCCAGCAGCCGCGGUAAUACGUAGGGUCCAAGCGUUAAUCGGAAUUACUGGGCGUAAAGAGUGCGCAGGCGGUUGUGCAAGACCGAUGUGAAAUCCCCGAGCUUAACUUGGGAAUUGCAGUGGUGACUGCACGGCUAGAGUGUGUCAGAGGGGGGUAGAAUUCCACGUGUAGAAGUGAAAUGCGUAGAGAUGUGGAGGAAUACCGAUGGAGAAGGCAGCCCCCUGGGAUAACACUGACGCUCAUGCACGAAAGCGUGGGGAGCAAACAGG
Molecule: ribosomal RNA, 429 nt
Filed under: Bacillota bacterium
Lineage: Bacteria; Bacillati; Bacillota
Description: Firmicutes bacterium partial 16S ribosomal RNA
Rfam family: Bacterial small subunit ribosomal RNA
Source: RNAcentral